This 731-nucleotide long non-coding RNA is filed under the name Solanum tuberosum (potato). RNAcentral's name for it is "long non-coding RNA (STUB_LNC001980)". Lineage: Eukaryota; Viridiplantae; Streptophyta; Magnoliopsida; Solanales; Solanaceae. The record is from RNAcentral.
UCUCUCAAUUACAGAGAAGAAAUAUAGUUUAAGGGAGAAUUUUCUCUCUUCUUUUCCCUUAAGGAAUCGGAAAACCCAGGAAGAAGAAACCUAUUUUCUUUAUUAAUUGCCAUUAAAUCACCCCUUUGAAGGUCGAAAGAGCCUUUGCAAUUUUUUCUUUCUUGGGUAUUUAUUUGUACAAAUUUUGAUUUCCUUUUUCUUGUUUUGAGAAGUAAAAAUGGGAACAGAAGUUUUGCGGCCACAAAAUUGUUUGAUUGACAGGUUCAGGGAACCACAACCGGCGGCGGCGUUUCAUCGUCGGAAAAAUAAUGGAUACUAUAACAACGGUUACCGGAAACCGGUUGUUAGAACGGAGAAAAAGAAGUUGAACAACAAGAUCCAGAACCAAUCUGAGCCGUCAAUUUCGAGGAGAUCUGAGGAAUCGAAACCGGUUCAGAUCCCCGGGGGAGUUACACCGGCGGUGGACGGCGGAAUCGUGAUGGGUCAGGUAAUGAUUUUGAGAAGGGGAGAGUCGUUGGAUUCUCUGAACCCGAAUAUAAGGAAAGAGAACAAAACGACGUCGUCGGGUAAGAAGAAGAAACAACCGGCGAGUGGUAGCGGUGAUGAGUUGACGGUUUACGGUACCGGAAGAUUGGGUCCGGAUCAACCCGGGAUGUUACCCAAAAAUAUCCGGGUCGGGCAUACUCCGACCGACGUGUAUGCUGGAUCUGCUUUCUCGAAUUCUCCAUCGC